CCAGCCCCGUGGAAGGAGAGGCUGCUUCCACCCCACCCACCCCUCCCCUGGGGAACUCCUCUGCUCCAGGUCCCUGACCCUUCUGCAGCCUUUCCAAGACCUACUGAUGGGUUGGGACCCACAGUUUGGGAAACUCAGUGGCUUUUAUAGAGCCAGAUGCUGAGAAGCCUGAUCCUAAAGUUGCUGAGCACCUUCCCCACCUACUGAGAUCUGCAGGAGCUAUGGCGAUAGGGAAUCCCACAUUAUUCCAGGGCAGAUUGUUAACCUGGAGCCAGGGAACUUCUGAGGAGAGAAGCAUUGGCCUGUGGAAAAAAGGGAUCCCUCUGUAAGAGGGUUCCCCUAGGUGCUGCUGGAUGUGCAGCAUUGUUUUACAGCACUGUCCUUGGUUAGUCCCCCUGGUCGCCAUAUUAGAUGGCUUGGCACCUUUGCGCUGCUCUGGCCACGGCCAGCUCUUUCAGAGAGUGCACAGCAUCAGGUGUGGUCUUUAGCAGAAGGUCAUUUCCGUUUAAACGUGCAGUCUGUAUAAAUAGUUCAGACCUGAUCCCGGGCUGAACACUCAAUGGUCAGCAUGAAGCCCUUAUAUAUCAUUGGGCUAUAACCAUGGGGUUAUAGCCUCUGAAGUCAAGAGGAGCAUUACCACCAACUUCAGUGGGUUUGAUCCUGCUCUCAUUACAUGCAAUGAUCACUGCAUGCUGCUUUCUUCUAAAAAGAACACGGGAAAAUAUUUAUUUGUGCAUGUAUGUUGUAUUUAAUAAGAUGUAUAUGAAAAUGGUAGAGAUUGAUUUUACUUGAUUUCAUUGCUUCACUUUAUCAGUGGUAACACACUCCACACAGCUCAGUGGCAUUUUUAUUCACACAGAAGUAUUUGCCUAUCGGAAUAGAAAGGAAUUAACCAACAUUGCUCCAGGACCAGCAGCCUUUUGGCUUUCCAGCCAUAUCUCCCAUAAAUUAAAUUGUCGUUAUAUUUCAUGCAAAUGUUGCAACACAGCUUGCAGUGGGAAGUCUAUUCAUGCACAAGAAGUGGUUUGAUCCAAACCUAAGAGAUACCACAGUGGGUUUUUAACAGUCUGGAAUGAAACUGCUUUCCAGAGUCAGGUCUGUGGUUCUCGUUUCCUCAGGGAGUUGCCAGCUAGCAAAGGGGUCUUGGAGGAGGUUGUGCUUGCAUGGCUUUUCUGAGAGCCUGCUGGCUGGGAUGGCAAUUUCUUUUUGAUCACCGGAGUUUUGUUCUUGCUUUUAAAUACCUUGUUGGGGUCCAGUUUGUUCACAAAGGAGUCAGGUUCUUCUGAGAGUAGAGCUGUGUUGAUGGUGAUGGGCUUGUACAUGUUAAACCAUUGCUGAAAAAAAGAUUACAGGGAAGGAUGACAUGGGGAGAGGGGGGAAAUCCCACACUAGAGAUUUGGAGGGAAACCGCAAGAAUCAACUUUGGAACAUUUUAAACAUACACCAAGCUCCUGCUGUCAAGAACCUGUGUCAGUCUGUGUUUCAUCUCACAGCGUUUUGUGCAAAGAGCUUUAUAGUAGAGAUGGUUCGUAGCUGCAGAAUGAGGAUUGGGAUAUAACCUUCCCAAGAUACAGGGAUUGUGCAGAUAAAGGUCAAAAGUGAAACCAGAUUCUCCUAGUUUUCCAUAGCAGUAACUCGGCAGGCAUUAGGGACUUACUCCUGGUUUAUACGGAUGUCAGAGAGAGAGGAACCAGGCCUAAUUUAUUUGGAUUCAAAGAAAUACCAAGUGAUUAUUAAUACCUUGGAAUUUACCUUGCCAAACAAGCGGAGCUAGAAUUGCUGGGCCUCUCGUGAAAUAAAAAGCCCCCAGUACUCUUCUAACAGUGCAGGUUCAGUUGUGCAAACUUUCACUCAGACCUUGUGUUCACUUAUCUUCUGACUGAUUUGAUGACUCUGGAUCACCAUCAGCAUUAUCUGGUUGCCACCAGGAAGUUUCACUUUGCAAUUCACAUUCCUGUCUUCUACUGCUUUUUCUACUACAGCCAGCUGGCUUAUGAAGCCAGGAAAAGGACUGCAGGGGUUAUUAGAAAACCCCGCCUCAAACCAUCCUCAUUCUAGGACACAGCAUAAUACUGAACGAGAUAAACAGAGGGUCAAUACACACACUAAAGGGGUGGUAGAUUUAAGUACUGUGUAAGGGGAAGGUCUCCAAUAUCUGCUCCUGAGAGACCUUUCCAAAAGAUAGUGUUAAUGAAGACUACCUGAUUACAGUAGUGAAAGAUAACAAGUCAGCUGGACAUAAUCUAAAUGAGGAAGAAGUUGAUUGGUUAGGGAACGUGUGGGGGAUAAUUUCACGCAAGGGGUAGUGAAUAUACGGAAUGCUGUGCUGGGAAAAGCUAUUGCUAGAGUACAAUGGGUACGGCCUCGAUCAAUCUAGGGCCUGGUCUGCAGUACGUGGUUAUUUUGGAAUUAGCUGAGUUAUCUCUAAAUAAAACUGGUUCCGUCCACAUGACCAAACCAGUUUUUUCAAUUUAAAGGGCUCUUUACUCUGAUUUCUGUACUCCACCUCGGCAAGUGGAGUAGCACUAAAAUCGA
This is a long non-coding RNA of Dermochelys coriacea (leatherback sea turtle), 2535 nucleotides long. RefSeq lists it as uncharacterized. The record is from RefSeq and is a predicted model, not a curated record. Lineage: Eukaryota; Metazoa; Chordata; Testudines; Dermochelyidae. The transcript has 2 exons.